AGUUUAAAGAUGUGUUACAUCGGAUUACAUUCAGAUUUAAUUUUAUUAGAGUUUAUGUAUUGACAGACGGAGCUCGCCCACCCCAAUAAAGAGGAGGACUACUAUCCGUCUCACAGGUUCACAGGUGUGUGUGGAUGAAUGGAGAAGGCGUGCACAUGCCCCCAGUAAAGUGGGCCAGCGACAACGAUCCCCAUGUUCAUUCAAUAAUGAUCCUUCCGCAGGUUCACCUACGGAAA
RNAcentral lists this unclassified non-coding RNA (236 nucleotides) under uncultured fungus. RNAcentral describes it as "sequence contains ITS1". Lineage: Eukaryota; Fungi. The record is from RNAcentral.